RNAcentral lists this ribosomal RNA (449 nucleotides) under uncultured bacterium. RNAcentral's name for it is "partial 16S ribosomal RNA". It matches the Rfam family "Bacterial small subunit ribosomal RNA", at positions 29 to 523 of the family's 1533-position model. The record is from RNAcentral.
AACGAACGCUGGCGGCGGGCUUAACACAUGCAAGUCGAACGCAUCCUUCGGGGUGAGUGGCAGACGGGUGAGUAACGCGUGGGAACGUGCCCUUCAGUUCGGGAUAACCCAGGGAAACUUGGGUUAAUACCGGAUACGUGCGAGAGCAGAAAGAUUUAUCGCUGAAGGAUCGGCCCGCGUCUGAUUAGCUAGUUGGUGGGGUAAUGGCCCACCAAGGCGACGAUCAGUAGCUGGUCUGAGAGGAUGAUCAGCCACAUUGGGACUGAGACACGGCCCAAACUCCUACGGGAGGCAGCAGUGGGGAAUAUUGGACAAUGGGCGCAAGCCUGAUCCAGCCAUGCCGCGUGAGUGAUGAAGGCCUUAGGGUUGUAAAGCUCUUUCGUCCGGGACGAUAGUGACGGUACCGGAAGAAGAAGCCCCGGCUAACUUCGUGCCAGCAGCCGCCGUAA